AUCUUUUAAACCAUACUCUUCGGUACACAUCUCCUUCUCGUCUUCGUUCUCAUCCUUCCCCUUCCUAAUCCACCUCAAAACCCCCAAUAUUGCAACAAACCUUUGAAUUUUUGCAGUAGCUAUAGACCCAAAAGAGCUCCCUAGAAACAGCCCUCAAAGACUUUUGAAAGAGCUAGCAGAGUUUAAGAAAAUAGUCUCACCUAAGAAAAAAACCGCUCCCGAGGAGAUUCAUUUUCAAGCUCCCACUUGAUGAUGCGAAACUGGCUAAAAGAUUCCUCAACAACCCGCAAUUACCACUAAAAUCCUUCCCUUUGUUGAGUUCUUGCUUGCCUUCUUCCCGAUUACACAAUGCAGAUAAAAUGUGGACGGACAGGUACUUGCUUGAAGCCAAGCAUGCUUUAGGUUACACUUUAGAGCCUUCUGAGAAUUAUAGAGAUGAUAAUUCGGCUAAUUAGUUUGGCAUAUUGUUGUAUCUGGCAUUUCAGCAUCCCCACUACGAGAGGACUAAUGCUCGCCAUGUGAGGUCGGGGCAUUCCAAGUUGUGGUUCUUGGGGCAGUAUGUGCUCGUGAUGGCAUUGUCUGAGUUUUCUUGCAGAGGUAUCCUACGGAGUCACCGGGGCCAAUGAGGGAGAGAGUGUAUGUUAAGAUUUGGG
This 653-nucleotide long non-coding RNA is filed under the name Olea europaea subsp. europaea. Lineage: Eukaryota; Viridiplantae; Streptophyta; Magnoliopsida; Lamiales; Oleaceae. The record is from RNAcentral.